This 85-nucleotide transfer RNA is filed under the name Felis catus (domestic cat). It matches the Rfam family "tRNA". Rfam says of the family: Transfer RNA (tRNA) molecules are approximately 80 nucleotides in length. Their secondary structure includes four short double-helical elements and three loops (D, anti-codon, and T loops). Further hydrogen bonds mediate the characteristic L-shaped molecular structure. tRNAs have two regions of fundamental functional importance: the anti-codon, which is responsible for specific mRNA codon recognition, and the 3' end, to which the tRNAs corresponding amino acid is attached (by aminoacyl-tRNA synthetases). tRNAs cope with the degeneracy of the genetic code in two manners: having more than one tRNA (with a specific anti-codon) for a particular amino acid; and 'wobble' base-pairing, i.e. permitting non-standard base-pairing at the 3rd anti-codon position. RNAcentral also lists the same sequence under 1 other name. Lineage: Eukaryota; Metazoa; Chordata; Mammalia; Carnivora; Felidae. The record is from Rfam by way of RNAcentral.
GCCUGGGUGGCUCAGUCGGUUAAGCGUCUGACUUCGGCUCAGGUCAUGAUCUCACAGUUCGUGGGUUCGAGCCCCACAUCGGGCU